AGUGAACGCUGGCGGUAGGCCUAACACAUGCAAGUCGAACAGCAGCACAGUAAGAGCUUGCUCUUACGGGUGGCGAGUGGCGGACGGGUGAGGAAUACAUCGGAAUCUGCUUUUUCGUGGGGGAUAACGUAGGGAAACUUACGCUAAUACCGCAUACGACCUACGGGUGAAAGCAGGGGAUCUUCGGACCUUGCGCGAUUGAAUGAGCCGAUGUCGGAUUAGCUAGUUGGCGGGGUAAAGGCCCACCAAGGCGACGAUCCAUAGCUGGUCUGAGAGGAUGAUCAGCCACACUGGAACUGAGACACGGUCCAGACUCCUACGGGAGGCAGCAGUGGGGAAUAUUGGACAAUGGGCGCAAGCCUGAUCCAGCCAUACCGCGUGGGUGAAGAAGGCCUUCGGGUGGUAAAGCCCUUUUGUUGGGAAAGAAAAGCAGCAGGUUAAUACCCCGCUGUUCUGACGGUACCCAAAGAAUAAGCACCGGCUAACUUCGUG
Molecule: ribosomal RNA, 492 nt
Filed under: uncultured bacterium
Lineage: Bacteria
Description: partial 16S ribosomal RNA
Rfam family: Bacterial small subunit ribosomal RNA
Source: RNAcentral